This 531-nucleotide ribosomal RNA is filed under the name uncultured bacterium. RNAcentral describes it as "bacterial SSU rRNA". It matches the Rfam family "Bacterial small subunit ribosomal RNA", at positions 368 to 917 of the family's 1533-position model. The record is from RNAcentral.
GNAAUGGGGGAACCCUGAUCCAGCCAUGCCGCGUGAGUGAUGAAGGCCUUCGGGUUGUAAAACUCUUUCGGCGGGGACGAUAAUGACGGUACCCGCAGAAGAAGCUCCGGCUAACUUCGUGCCAGCAGCCGCGGUAAUACGAAGGGGGCUAGCGUUGUUCGGAAUUACUGGGCGUAAAGCGCGCGCAGGCGGCCUUUCAAGUCAGGGGUGAAAGCCCGGAGCUCAACUCCGGAAUUGCCUUUGAAACUGUCAGGCUCGAGUACGGGAGAGGUGAGUGGAAUUCCCAGUGUAGAGGUGAAAUUCGUAGAUAUUGGGAAGAACACCGGUGGCGAAGGCGGCUCACUGGCCCGUUUCUGACGCUCAGGCGCGACAGCGUGGGGAUCAAACAGGAUUAGAUACCCUGGUAGUCCACGCCAUAAACGAUGAGAACUAGACGUUGAGGGGGUAAGCCUCUCAGUGUCGUAGCUAACGCGCUAAGUUCUCCGCCUGGGGAGUACGGCCGCAAGGUUGAAACUCAAAGAAAUUGACGGA